CUUCCUCUGACUUCUUUGUCAUUCGGCGGGAGGCCAUAAAACUAACUGUUGUCGGCAUCUCUCCUUCAUCGCGUAUAGAUAAUUACCCAGCUUACACAGCUUACACUCAGCAGUGUCUUAGGGCUCAUGUCUAUCAAGCAUCAGCAUUAACUUAUGGGGAAGCAGAAGAGUGCUCCUCUCAGAUACUCGCAGUGGGUUUGGUUGGACAACUAUUUCGGCAAAACGGAAUCACAGCAUGCCUAAUACUCGCUGUCGUGAGGGAUGCACAUGCGCGAGGACAUCCAAAUUUAGAUGUGUGUCCUUUGGCACUAAUUAAAGACAGAAUAUGGGAGGUUGAGAGUACAUUGCCUCUUCUGACCGUCGCUUAACUGUAGUAACCCUCGUGAAGGCUCUUCGCUCUUCUGGCCAUACGUUCGAUACUCCAUUAAAAUAACUGCUGCCUCAUUUGAGAAUAAUAUGUCGCAUAAAAUUGUGGACUUGCAGAGAGAACGGUUUGGAAUGGACAAAGAUGACUGGGUGUGAAGUUUGUCCUGAGAUGAAUGUGGUGAAUAUUAUAUAUCCAUGUAAUACUUCUAAAUCCGGGAUUUACAUGGAGCUUAAGGGGGGCUACAAAGCUUAUUGCGAAUGGUCGGGGCAUUUUGAAUUUUCUCCUUGGGCUGUUUAAUUACCCCGGGUAUCCCUCUGUAAUCCAUCUAUCUGGCUUGACGCCUUACUAUAGCCCCCAUUAGAACGUGAAGCUACCGUUUAGAUGGACAUGAAGCUUCCAUCAUGAAUUGCCCAGGGUUAAAGGAGGAGGCUCACUUUGCUUUCGAAUGACUCUGAUUGAAGGAGUCAACAGUUCCUGAAAAUAUUCAUGGAGGUCAUCUUCGCCUGGUUUGUGGAUCAAGAGAGAAAACUGAAUUGGUGAACGGGCAGCAUACGUAACAUUUUUGAACUCUUCUCUGCAUACAUCUAGCAAGGCACCACUUUCUGCGGUACUCUAUUUCAUUAUGUAUACUAUGCUAUUAUCUGUCUU
This 1015-nucleotide small RNA is filed under the name Cryptococcus neoformans H99. Its description in RNAcentral is "Cryptococcus neoformans var. grubii H99 hypothetical RNA". Lineage: Eukaryota; Fungi; Basidiomycota; Tremellomycetes; Tremellales; Cryptococcaceae. The record is from RNAcentral.